Molecule: long non-coding RNA, 1121 nt
Filed under: Elaeis guineensis (African oil palm)
Lineage: Eukaryota; Viridiplantae; Streptophyta; Magnoliopsida; Arecales; Arecaceae
Description: long non-coding RNA (EGUI_LNC070151)
Source: RNAcentral
CAGAUCUGGAUGUUAUUUGAAAUUGUGAAUGAUUGAGUUCUUAGUUUUCCUAAGUUUGAUUAAGUUCUUUGUGGGAGUGAUAUUGAUAAAAAAGGCAUGCUCUCUGUGCAGUUUUACUUGCAAACAUGAGAGCUGCUCUAGAUGAUGAUAACAUUUGGUAUGGGAAAAGAAAUGGGCUUCUUAUGGUCUAAAUAUUUGCUUCCAUAGGUGGUGGAAUGGUCUAUCCUGAUCCCUCUAAGAAAGAAAAGGAUAGAUGGCUGGGUUUAUUUAAAAGUGCUUCCACAUGAUCAUUGAAUAUGAGGGUGUCAUGUGUCCAAAUGUCUUACACUCUGCAAAGAAUGGGAUAUGGAGAGUCACUUCAUGUAACUUGAAAAUCUGCAACAGUAGUUUGGGAGUUAAAACUCCACUGUUGGCUUUGCUUAGUCUCAGAUUUCUUUCGCUGGUCAAGUUUGAAAACUUGUUUAUAUACCAUUACCGUACCUUGCCAUAUGGCAAAAUAAUGUUGCAUGGAUACCUGCUGCUCUAAUUGCAGCAACAUGGGAAGCAUGCAGUGGCAGAAUCCCUGAGGGAAAAGAAAUUCAUACGUGGAAAUUUGAAGUUGCAGUGAAUAUUAAAAAUUUUCAAUUCAAUAGAUUAUAGAUUGUAGAAUACAAAGUAAAUAAUCAACCAGAGGCUGGUAGACAUAGAAGUCAGCAUGAUGUUGGGAAGGGCAAACUUCAAUGAUGGAGAAAAACUAGCCUUUUCAGUUCAAGAAAAUCCAAAACAUUUUCUCAGAUGUUUAAUUGGUAAAACAUCAUCUUUUAAUUGCAGAUCAAUGGAUACAAGACUUUUAACCACUAAAUUCAGCACAUACCUUUUUUGGGUAAAUGCUUUCAUGUCUUGCUGGUCAAAGCUAAUUACUUUGAAUUUUAGUUUCCUCAUCUUGUUUGGUUUGUAAGUUAGAUUUGUUAAUAACAGUCUCCUCUGUUGUUGGGCAUGUGGUAAGUCUUUGUGUAGAUCCUAUUAGUGAAAGAUUGUUGUUUCCUUGGUUCAGUUGAAAGGAAUAUUGUAACAUAAAUCCUGUGAGAAAUAAAGGACUAUUUGAAAACUAAAGCCUUGUAAAUCUUUAAGAAAGUAGCAUG